CAGCCGCCACGGUAAUACGGAGGGAGCUAGCGUUGUUCGGAAUUACUGGGCGUAAAGCGCGCGUAAGCGGUUACUCAAGUCAGAGGUGAAAGCCCGGGGCUCAACCCCGGAACUGCCUUUGAAACUAGGUGACUAGAAUCUUGGAGAGGUCAGUGGAAUUCCGAGUGUAGAGGUGAAAUUCGUAGAUAUUCGGAAGAACACCAGUGGCGAAGGCGACUGACUGGACAAGUAUUGACACUGAGGUGCGAAAGCGUGGGGAGCAAACAGGAUUAGAUACCCCCGUAGUCCCUGUCUCUUAUAC
This 301-nucleotide ribosomal RNA is filed under the name uncultured bacterium. Its description in RNAcentral is "partial 16S ribosomal RNA". It matches the Rfam family "Bacterial small subunit ribosomal RNA", at positions 509 to 807 of the family's 1533-position model. The record is from RNAcentral.